RNAcentral lists this ribosomal RNA (252 nucleotides) under uncultured bacterium. Its description in RNAcentral is "partial 16S ribosomal RNA". It matches the Rfam family "Bacterial small subunit ribosomal RNA", at positions 524 to 776 of the family's 1533-position model. The record is from RNAcentral.
UACGGAGGGCGCGAGCGUUAAUCGGAAUUACUGGGCGUAAAGCGCGCGUAGGCUGUUGUGUAAGUUGGGGGUGAAAUCCCACGGCUCAACCGUGGAACAGCCCUUGAUACUGCGCGACUUGAAUCCGGGAGAGGGUGGCGGAAUUCCAGGUGUAGGAGUGAAAUCCGUAGAUAUCUGGAGGAACAUCAGUGGCGAAGGCGGCCACCUGGACCGGUAUUGACGCUGAGGCGCGAAAGCGUGGGAGCAAACAGG